RNAcentral lists this ribosomal RNA (119 nucleotides) under Triticum aestivum (bread wheat). Lineage: Eukaryota; Viridiplantae; Streptophyta; Magnoliopsida; Poales; Poaceae. The record is from RNAcentral. RNAcentral also lists the same sequence under 2 other names.
GGAUGCGAUCAUACCAGCACUAAAGCACCGGAUCCCAUCUGAACUCCGAAGUUAAGCGUGCUUGGGCGAGAGUAGUACUAGGAUGGGUGACCUCCUGGGAAGUCCUCGUGUUGCAUUCC